Long non-coding RNA from Ctenopharyngodon idella (grass carp), 2556 nucleotides. RefSeq lists it as uncharacterized. The transcript has 2 exons. NCBI's taxonomy places the organism in Eukaryota, Metazoa, Chordata, Actinopteri, Cypriniformes, Xenocyprididae. The record is from RefSeq and is a predicted model, not a curated record.
UAGCCCUAAGCUUUUUGUGAAUACAGACUUCAUGUUUCAUUUUUCGGAUAUGCGUCAACACACGAAGAAGCCACUCCACUAAGCUUUAACUAUAAAACUGUCAAAGAUGGAAAUUGACUUCUGAGAAGUCUCGUGUUUUAUGCAAAUCUGUCAAAUUUCUGGACCAUGUAAGUUCGUAACGUUUGGUCAGUUGAGGUACCCCUCAGAAUAAGGAACUCAUUAAAGAGCACAAAAGUGCUUAGGGCGAAGCUGUGGUGCUCGUUAAAUACCAGCCUAUCAUCAGUAGUCAGGAGAUCAUUAUUCUGCCAUGAAAACUGAAGCUUGUAGUUUGGACUUGGUCAUCCAGGUGGAUGCCACACUCUACUGGUGGUUGAGGAUAUGAUUGUACCUGAUAUGAUUGUAGAGUGCUUGGGUAUACAACAGUACAUAAUAAAAGCACUAUAUAAAUGCUUCCUUCCUUCCUACCCAGGGUGAUGUCGCCACUUCAUGGUGGGUGCUUCACUAAGGGCUUGAGGGUUGAUAUUUUCAAGGGAUUGUACACGUUUCGUAGACGUGCCAGCCUUUCCUCACAUAAUAAGGCCUUGUGUCCCCUUUUAAUCAAAGGACCAGACCCAGGUUUGGGGAAAGAUGGUUCCCCAGUGCUGUCCUUCGGCUCAUGCUGCAGCUGGUCAUGAGUCCUGUUAUGGUUGUUGCGGCGACCCUCUAAGAUCCAUUUAUGCUGCAUGGCUUCCUGUGGUGUCAUGCGCAUCUUGGGGUCCCACCUGGAAAGGACAGCUGAUCAAGCUCAUUUCUGCCGGUGAAGAUGGGAUGCCCAGUGUGGAGCUCUGCUAGGACACAGCCAAGGCUCCACAUAUCUAUGGCAGUGCCAUAGGGCUGACGUAGCAGCAACUCAGGUGCACGGUACCACCGAGUUCCUAUGUAGCCGAAAACUACAGUGAACAUAGAGAUAAAGAUGAGAGUCAUGAAAAUGCAAGAAAAAAGAACCACCUAAAGCUUAACUCACCUUGCUCAUCUUCAUAGCAGCCACAUCCGAAAUCAGCCACCUUGAUGUCAGAGUGCUCUUCGUCGAUCGCCAGGAUGUUUUCCUAUACAGAGCAAUAGCAUUAUAGAGCAAAUUGUUUCACUGCAGAUCUUCCAACAGUGCAUCAGACCAAAAGCAAACAAAUCUGAAUACUUAUGAGGAUGUAAAAUUAAAAGGAUGUCGAGUGUUAGUCAACUUACAGGCUUGAGGUCAGCAUGUAUGAUCUUCUCAUCGUGAAGCACCUGCAGGCACUUCAGCAACGAGCAGGCAUAACGACGGACCAGAUUCUUGGAAAGGCCCUGGCGGUGUCGCUUUUUAAGAACCUCGUUCAGGUUUGAUCUAUGCAGAGAUAAAAACACACCAUUUUUUUAAGAAGCUGAUUAAGAUCUGACUUUCUGCUACAUGUGCCAACAUUUUAAAAAAUCGAUUGUCCUAGAAACUAGAAACUGCUGAAAUCUAUAUUCUCAUUCACACUCACCCCAGAAGCUCGAAGGCGAUGCAGAGGUGUUUGCGAAAGAUGAAGUGCUCUUUCAUUUGGACGGUCUUGGUGCUGGAGUCUUUGUCUUUCUUGAGCAGAGUCUCCAAAAUCUUGACCUCUGUCAUGGAAGUUUGAUCAUCUUUCCUGUUACACAACAGAGACAUACUGGGUUAAACCUGAAGAGUUCCAGCCAAACAGCAGCAACAGUUUUGUGUUUUCAGUUAAGUCUAUUAAAAAUGAAACCAUAUUUAGUAAACCAAAUACAAAUAAUUAAGAAUUCCAUUUAAAUUAUGGAAUGUAAUAGACUUACAUUCUGCGCAGUAUUUUAAUUGCAACCAUCUCAUUGGUCUUGUGGUCCCGACAUUUGAACACCUGACCAAAUGCGCCUUGACCCAUCACUUCAAGCACCUCAUAUCGAUAGGCAAUGUGGUCAUGAGCAACCUGUGAACAACACAAAAGAAACAUUUAAUAUCCAAAACCAGAAGCUCACAGCUGCUGGUGCAUCUCAGUUAUCGAUUGUAUGUAUCGAAAAAGUAAUCAGUGGACUUCAGUAUUAAUAUAUCUGUAAUAUUGUUGUGUGAUUUUAAGUAUGAUUGUAAAACAAUUUCAAAUCAAAUCAAUAGCUGCGUCUCAUUUCAAAGGCUGCGUCCUCCGGAGGUCGCAUUUGAAGACUGCAUAUGUCAUCAAGCCCUUCUCAUUUAAGAAGAGUAACCAUUAGAUUGCAAAGAAACAAAGAAAUUACAGUAUUUUACACCUCACAAUGAAUAACAGUUAAUUUUAUUACGGUUACUUUUCUUAAAUAAGACAUCCUUGAUGAAGUAUGUAACCUCUGAAGAGAGACGCAGCUAAUAUAUUAAAUUCUUUGUUUGGGGAGAAGUCGAGUCAUCUUGUUUGAACUUGUUCAUCUUAGCUAAAAGACGCUGACUAGGAAUUGUUUUUCUUUGUGGAAGCUUUGAGAUUAUUACAAGUGUUCUCAAAUAUUUAAAUAUUUGUGUCCAAAUAUUUAUUUAUGUGCCCAGGAGCUGUGUAAUGAUUGGGAUAAUGUACAUCCACACAG